UUGGGGGUUGAUCUUAGUGGUAGACUGUGUGCUUUUCUUGCGCCAUGCCUGGGUUCAAUUCCCAGUUCCAAAA
Molecule: transfer RNA, 73 nt
Filed under: Marmota monax (woodchuck)
Lineage: Eukaryota; Metazoa; Chordata; Mammalia; Rodentia; Sciuridae
Description: tRNA.Glu
Source: RNAcentral